This 1702-nucleotide long non-coding RNA is filed under the name Zonotrichia albicollis (white-throated sparrow). Its description in RNAcentral is "lncRNA (ENSZALG00000001470.1)". Lineage: Eukaryota; Metazoa; Chordata; Aves; Passeriformes; Passerellidae. The record is from RNAcentral.
AUGGGACAAUUUAAGUGCCACCCCUGUGUCAGGGACACCCCAAAGUGCCACCCCUGUGAAGGGACAGUCCCCAAAGUGCCACCUCUGUGGGACAAGGGACACUUUAGGUGCCACCCCUGUGACAGGGACACCCCAAAGUGCCACCCCCCCAGGACAGGGCCACUCCAAAUGUCCCCAAUGCUGUCCCCAAUGUCCCCGUCCCCCUCCCGGUACGAGGAUCCCCCCCCAGGAUUGGGAACAACUCAGGGAAAUCCCAAAAAUCCCAAAUUCCCAAAAAUUCCCAUUUCCCAAAAAUCCCCCAAAAAUUCCCCGUUCCCCCAAAAAAUCCCAAUCCCCAAAAAUCCCAAUCCCCAAAAAUCCCAAUCCCCAAAAAUCCCAUUCCCGAAGGAAUUUGGGCAGAAUUUGGGAUUUCUGGAGGGAAAUUUGGGACUUUUGGGGGGGAAAUUUGGGAUCCCCUCGCUGUGGUUGUGCAAUAAAGGUUCGGAAUUAAUUCUGGAAAUUUUGGAGAAUUUUGGGGAAUUUUGGGGAGGGAAAAUGAGGGUGGGAUUUCUGACCCCUGGGAAUUCCGGCUUCCCCCAAAAUCCCCAAAAAAAAAAUGCUGCAAAAUCCCAAACGAACUCCUGGACCCCAAAACUCUUGGGAUCCCAAAUUCCCAGAUCCCAAAUUCCCCAAUUUCCAAACUUUUUGAUCCCAAACUCCUGAACCCCAAAAUUCCUGGACACCAAAUUCCCCAAUCCCAAACUCCCCAAUCCCAAAUUCCCCAAUCCCAAAUCCCCAAUCCCAAAAUUCCUGGACCCCAAAUUCCUCAAUUCCCAAACUCUUUGAUCCCAAACUCCUGAAACCCAAAAUUCCCCAAUCCCAAAUCCCCAAUCCCAAACUCCUGGGAUCCCAAAUUCCCAAUCCCAAAUUCCCCAAUCCCAAUUCCCCAAUCCCAAACUCUUGGGAUCCCAAAUUCCCAGAUCCCAAAUCCCCGAUCCCAAAUUCCCCAAUCCCAAAUUCCCAAUCCCAAACUCCUGGGAUCCCAAAUUCCCAAUCCCAAAUCCCCAGUCCCAAUUCCCCAAUCCCAAAUCCGGGCCAUUUUGGGCCAUUUUGGGCCAUUCUGGGCUUUAUUGGGGGGCUCUGAGACCCCAAACCCGCCCCGACCCCACCAACCCAACCGGGGAGGGACACGAGGACGGGCUGGGGAAGGUUCUGGAGAACUUGAGAAGGUUCUGGAGGGCGUUUGGGAAAGUUGUGGAGAACACUGGGUGAUCCUGGAGGCCCCAGGAGGUUCCUGCAGGUCCCCGGGGUGUCCUGGAGAUCAUGGGAAGGUUCUGAAGAACAUUGGGUGAUCCUGGAGGCCAUGGGGAUGUUCUGAAGGCCAUGGGCAGGUUCUGGAGGCCAUGGGGAGGUUCUGAAGAAUGUUGAGUGAUCCUGAAGGCCAUGGGCAGGUUCUGGAGAACAUUGGGUGAUCCUGGAGGCCAUGGGGAGGUUUUGGAGGCCAUGGGCAGGUUCUGGAGAACGUUGGGUGAUCCUGGAGGCCAUGGGCAGGUUCUGGAGGCCAUGGGGAGGUUCUGGAGACCAUGGGUAGGUUCUGGAGAACGUUGGGUGAUCCUGGAGGCCAUGGGCAGGUUCUGGAGAACGUUGGGUGAUCCUGGAGGCCAUGGGCAGGUUUUGGAGGCCAUGGGGAGGUUCUGGAGACCAUGGGUAGGUUCUGAAGAAC